This 168-nucleotide non-coding RNA is filed under the name human gut metagenome. Its description in RNAcentral is "Lysine riboswitch". It matches the Rfam family "Lysine riboswitch aptamer". From Rfam's summary of the family: Riboswitches are metabolite binding domains within certain messenger RNAs that serve as precision sensors for their corresponding targets. Allosteric rearrangement of mRNA structure is mediated by ligand binding, and this results in modulation of gene expression. This family includes riboswitches that sense lysine in a number of genes involved in lysine metabolism, including lysC. The record is from RNAcentral.
AAGGGUAGAGGCGCGAUAUUUAUCAGUACUAAUAACGAGGUAAGCACGAUGACUUAUUAGGAAAGGAAAUAUUGCCGAAGUAUAUAACUAAUGCUUUGAUGUUAUAUAACUGGGGAUGUAUAGAAUAUAUGCAUCACUGUCACAAAUUUACUUUGUGGUGAGCUACAU